This is an RNA transcript of Ictidomys tridecemlineatus (thirteen-lined ground squirrel), 2777 nucleotides long. It is a transcript of the gene named DNA damage regulated autophagy modulator 1, with no coding region annotated. NCBI's taxonomy places the organism in Eukaryota, Metazoa, Chordata, Mammalia, Rodentia, Sciuridae. The record is from RefSeq and is a predicted model, not a curated record.
UCUCCUAAUCGCCGGGGCCCAGCAGCCGCUUUGUGACUUCACGCGUUUCGCAACAAGCCCGGGCCACCCGCGCCCCACCCACCCCGGCCCGGCGGCCUUGCAGCCUGCCACCUCUCUUGGCUCUUCGCGCUUCUCUCCCUCCCCGGCCUGCCCAGGCCUUCCCGGAGCCUCGGGUCCCGCCACGAGACGUGGCCGCCGUCUAGCUGAUUGGCAAGUGCGCGGCCGCCGCCUCCACGCAGCCCGGAGCAACCCGGCGUCGCGUCCCGCUGAGCGCUGCGCCCCCUCGGCGGCCGCGGCGCGAUGCUGUGCUUUCUGAAGGGGAUGGCCUUCGUCCCCUUCCUCCUGGUGACCUGGUCGUCCGCCGCCUUCAUCAUCUCCUACGUGGUCGCUGUGCUCUCCGGGCACGUCAACCCCUUUCUCCCCUACAUCAGUGAUACAGGAACAACACCUCCAGAGAGUGGUAUUUUUGGAUUCAUGAUAAACUUCUCUGCAUUUCUUGGUGCAGCCACGAUGUACACGAGAUAUAAAAUAGUAGAGAAGCAAAAUCAAACCAGCUAUUUCGGCACUCCUGUUUUUAACUUGGUGUCCUUAGUUCUUGGAUUGGUGGGAUGUAUCGGAAUGGGCAUUGUAGCAAAUUUUCAGGAGUUAGCUGUGCCUGUGGUCCACGAUGGGGGCGCCCUUCUGGCUUUUGUCUGCGGUGUGGUGUAUACGCUCCUGCAAUCCAUCAUCUCUUACAAAUCGUGUCCACAGUGGAACAGCAUCUUGACGUGCCACAUACGCAUGGCCAUCUCUGCUGUUUCCUGUGCAGCUGUUGUCCCCAUGAUUGCCUGUGCUUCACUAAUUUCUAUAACCAAACUGGAGUGGAAUCCAAAAGAAAAGGAUUAUGUGUACCAUGUAGUGAGCGCAAUCUGUGAAUGGACCGUGGCCUUUGGUUUUAUUUUCUACUUCCUAACAUUCAUCCAAGAUUUUCAGAGUGUUACCUUAAGGAUAUCCACAGAAAUCAAUGGUGAUGUUUGAAGAAAAGAGGAUUCUGUCUCAGUGAAUGUCACAGAUGGUUUCUAGAAGUGGCACAGAGAGGGACAGGUUUUGAUGCCGCCCCGAUUGGGAUGCAUUUGCGGUACAUCCAGGACUUGAAUUUCACCAAGAUUCCUAUAGUUGUACUAUUUACAAAGGGAUGAGGACAAUCGGCGAGCUCUGGGGAGCAGGCGAUCUGGAUGGGGAAUUCUCUCCCAGUCUGUGAAGUUUCAACACCCAUCAGGCUGCCUGGCAGGUGGUGAGCUUAGACAGUGUGUGUCCUGCUGCACCCAGAGGCUUCUGGGUGCUUCUGCUCUUUCAAAAGACGUAUUCCUUCUGCGUGGCUCAAGUGGAACCUUAAGAUGAGAUUGCGUGGUGGGGUAACUACAUCAAAGACCUCCCCCCAUCCCAGUGGGCCUGGAAGAGUAAGACAGCUCUAAAAACCCCUCUCUUCUCCAGGGACAAAUUCAAAACAAGAGAGCUGAGCCCUUACUCUAGCUCCUGUCUCAGAGGCCCUGUUCCUCUGCCCACUUUUAAAUCCACUGCCCCAGCUUGAGCGUGUGUGGGGAAGGGGAGGUGGCCCCACACUGGGAAGAGUUUCUGUUCCCUUCCUUUGUUGACGAUCCUUCAUAGAAGACAGAAUGCACACACAGAUUGCAGGGGCACAUGUGGCCUCCACAUGAGUUUGGCAUUCGCAGGCUUCGUGUGGUUUCUCACCAGUUCUACCAGUUCUUCAUUCUUCUGAGAGGCCGGCAACCUGGCAACUGCACCAUCUGCCCACUCUGACACAGGGGCAGGUAGCACCAAGGAGGGCCACCACAAGCACUUUUCUGUCUCUCUCAGUAACGUUUCCUGAAAGAAGAGUGGGAGACAAACUAUAUGCUCAUUGGGGUCAUGCCACUAUGACUGGGUAUUUACAUCUGCCCACCAAGGGCUGAGAGCAGCUGUUGGAUGAUGGACUGACAGAAGCUGGACCCUCUGACAUUGGAAGUGAAGCUUUUUCAAAGAAAAGUGUAUGAAAAAAAAAUAGUGCAAGUGGCAGGUGGGAUUACAGAGGGUCUUGGUAUUAUGUUCAGGAAGUGUAUUCAUAGUCUGACUUUAUAUUUUGAUCUCAAUGAUUAUAUUGUGAAAUUUUUCUUCAGGGCUAAGGACUGAACACAGGGCCUUGGGCACACUUGGCAAGCACUCUACCAACUGAGCUACACCCCCAGCUCAUUUUUUUUUUUUUUUUGGUAACAGACUUCUCACUUAAAAUGGCUUUCUUCUGCAAUAUCUGCUCAUUCCUUUGGUAAAAGCAUUUUGGAAUACACAUAAGCACCCAUUAUCCCAGCCUCCUCCCUUCCCCUCCCCACCUCCUCAAUGCCACACUUCAGUUUUCCCAAACCAUAACUAACCCUGUCAAGUACAGGGAACUAGACAUCUGCGCCCCAUCUUCCUAAAGUGGUUGGUGGAGGGUGAUAAUGGGCGACAAAUGGUGACAGAUGUGAGCAGAAAGGGGACCUGUACCCACUCCAGUGUCUCUGAGGUAGACAGACCUCAAUAAGGCGAGUCCAAGUGUGAGAACUGAACACUACCUCAAGGAUGGGAAACAGGUGAAAUUGUCCUAGAGCCUAGCUUGGAGAGAGAUGGGGUGUGGCAAGAGCCCCCCACUUCCACACUACCUCUGCAGGAAUCCAGGUCCCCACCAACUAAGGGAGGGAAAGGAAACUGGGUAUUGGGCUUCCUGCCAAUUUUGUUCUGUGGGGCACUCAAGUUGAAUUUGA